This 72-nucleotide transfer RNA is filed under the name Desmophyllum pertusum. RNAcentral describes it as "Lophelia pertusa tRNA". It matches the Rfam family "tRNA". Rfam says of the family: Transfer RNA (tRNA) molecules are approximately 80 nucleotides in length. Lineage: Eukaryota; Metazoa; Cnidaria; Anthozoa; Scleractinia; Caryophylliidae. The record is from Rfam by way of RNAcentral.
UCUCCUGUAGCUCAGUGGUAGAGUGUCUGACCGGUGUGCGGAAGGUCAUAGGUUAGACUUCUGUUGGGGGAA